RNAcentral lists this ribosomal RNA (448 nucleotides) under uncultured bacterium. Its description in RNAcentral is "bacterial SSU rRNA". It matches the Rfam family "Bacterial small subunit ribosomal RNA", at positions 28 to 484 of the family's 1533-position model. The record is from RNAcentral.
GAUGAACGCUGGCGGCGUGCUUAACACAUGCAAGUCGAACGAAGCACUUCAUAAAGUUUACUUUAAGAAGUGACUUAGUGGCGGACGGGUGAGUAACGCGUGGGUAACCUGCCUUACACAGGGGGAUAACAGUUAGAAAUGACUGCUAAUACCGCAUAAAACAGCAGAGUCGCAUGACUCAACUGUCAAAGAUUUAUCGGUGUAAGAUGGACCCGCGUCUGAUUAGCUGGUUGGUGGGGUAACGGCCUACCAAGGCGACGAUCAGUAGCCGGCCUGAGAGGGUGAACGGCCACAUUGGGACUGAGACACGGCCCAAACUCCUACGGGAGGCAGCAGUGGGGAAUAUUGGACAAUGGGCGAAAGCCUGAUCCAGCGACGCCGCGUGAGCGAUGAAGUAUUUCGGUAUGUAAAGCUCUAUCAGCAGGGAAGAAAACGACGGUACCUGACU